Long non-coding RNA from Betta splendens (Siamese fighting fish), 2394 nucleotides. NCBI's taxonomy places the organism in Eukaryota, Metazoa, Chordata, Actinopteri, Anabantiformes, Osphronemidae. The record is from Ensembl.
AUGGCUUUUCACGAGGACGAGCAGUAUUUUGAAGGUGACCGCUACGGAGAAGAGGACCAUUACGCGACCUCUCAACGCCACCGGGACCACGGGAGGUAUCGUUCUGGCUCCUAUUAUGAACAGAGACUCCCUCGAACGUAUGCAGAAGUGACCAGGUACGGCUGCCAACAUGACGAUGAACGCUAUGAGAGGCGCGCUGUUCACCAACGUGAACGCGCACCUCAGCGAGUACGGGAUAGACGCACACACUUUGAACAAAAUGAGGGACAGCGUUCUCGCAGUGUCUACGCCCGACAACCACGGUACCGUACUCCCCGUUACAAUCCUGCACCACGUCCCCGUUAUGAACCUCCACAGCUGAACCGUUCACCGUUCCGCCGACCACGACGUCGCGCAACAUACGGCAGACGCCAGCAACGGGAUUUCCCCAUGGAGAGAGACCGGGCCGGAGCACAGCACCGCAGAAGACCGGCCCGCCAGCCACAAAGGAGAGAUCAGGAGCCGCUGAGGAUCCAGUCAGAUGAUCCCCGCUUCAGGGAAAAGGUCCGAGCCCUACAUAAAAUCAUUGUGGCAUUUCACCACCUCCGGAACUGGUCCGGAGCCCGGGCACCAUCCCAGGUAAGCAAGAUGACGGAGACUCUUGCUACCUUUAUAAAACCAGCUUCUCCCACACACGCAACACUCCUCCUAAUUGAGGGUAAUGCGAAAAAUUGGGAAUAUAAUAAUAUCACCAUAAUGAAGCAGCAUUAUGAGGAUGUGAUACAGCAGCAUCUCCUUGAGAUGGCUGAUGCCCAACAUCAGGACUGGAGGGGUCCCUUUGAGGUGGCGUCAGGCUGGGCCCGUCGCAAUUUGGGUCGGCGCCUCCUUCCCAAAACCCUGCAGGAGGCUGAGACUUUUUUGACAGACAACCUGAACGCCAGAGGUGUACUGGACCCACCUGGGAGCCCCUCCCGAGCCCAAUCAGAUGACUCCUCCUCAUCAGCAUCAUCUCAGGCAAUCCCCUCAGCAUCCCCCCUCUCCCACACAACAUCACAAGCUCCUGCAGCCACACGCAGCACUGCAGCCCAAACACAUCCACCUGCUGCAGCCUGCACCACAUCUUUUGCCCCACCUCGAACAGUCACCACUGCCUCCAUGGGCACUAUGACUCACCUGAGGGGCGGGGAUUGGUCCCCCCUCCCCUCCCAACAAUCAGAGGGAGAGGAGAGCAUGGCUGAGGAAGAGGAAUACAACAAUGAUGUUGAUGAUGAACAUUGUCAUUAUGAUAAGGAUGAGGGAGAGGAUUAUGAUGAUGACGACGAUGACAACGUCCAUCCUCAUCUGCUCUCACAAUCUACCCCAGUGUCUCCCACUCCUUCCAUGGUCGCAAACACGCCACCAUCUCCUAAAUCACAAAGAGAACCCAGGACUGGCUCCAGGUCCAAAUUUAGCACUCGCCAGUCUGAGGAGGAAGAUUUGCUCCCUAACACCCAAUUCGCGGAGGAUGAGACAUCCACAGUGGAGCCUUGCGCCCUGAGAUCGACACAGAGUUUCCCCAACGUCAGACUCCGGCCCCUCAGCUCCCACAUCACACCAAUACCCCCGCCAUCUUCAGUUGCAUUAAACUCACCUACUGAUGAAGAGGAUCACACAAUCAUCCGGCAGGGGGCUGUCUCCUCUUCCUCCGAUUCUCCUUCUUCUCCUCCUGCUGCUGCUGCGGCUGAACUCCAUCUUGCCUCUCCAGGCCCCCCCUCCCUGACCAAAAUGGGGCCAAUCUUUCUCCUCUCUCCUCCUGCAGCAGCCAGAUCCCCCCAUAGGAUGAGCCGCAGGCAAUUUACCCAAAUGGAGAUCCUUGCCACCCCCUCUACUCCUCCUGGCACUGAAAUUUUCAAGCCCACUCGCCACCCCAACACCAGCAGGAAACUGAGGGACUGGAGCAUCUGCCUACAAAAAAAGAUGGUCAUUAUGGGGGAUUCCAACGUUGGCAGAUUUCCUCCCUUCACCAGAGAGGACCUGCAGGUCGACAGUUUUCCUGGAGCCACCUUCUACCAUGCAGAAUCCAUCCUGCAGAAAGCCACCUCUUCCACCCAGACACAGUCCAUCAUCCUGUCCUUUGGCAUCAACAGCAGAAAUCAAAAAACCCACUCUACCACCAUCAAACAACUCCAGGGUGCCUACAGAGUAGCCAAGAAGAGGUUCCCUCAGACUGCUGUUUACGUCCCAGAACUGAACUUCUCCCCAGCCCUCCCACAGGUGGAGCAAAACAACUUGCAUCUACUUAAUGAUCACAUUAGGGAGAACUGUGAGUAUCUCACCCGCAUCCCCAGUGAGCUCUUUGAGGUCGAGGCAGACCUCAUCCACUGGUCUCCUACCACAGCGGGUCGUAUCCUUUCUCACUGGUUACAGGGAAAUUAA